This 253-nucleotide ribosomal RNA is filed under the name uncultured bacterium. RNAcentral describes it as "partial 16S ribosomal RNA". It matches the Rfam family "Bacterial small subunit ribosomal RNA", at positions 524 to 776 of the family's 1533-position model. The record is from RNAcentral.
UACGUAGGGUGCGAGCGUUGUCCGGAAUUACUGGGCGUAAAGAGCUCGUAGGCGGUCAGUCGCGUCUGCUGUGAAAACUCGGGGCUUAACUCCGGGCCUGCAGUGGGUACGGGCUGACUAGAGUGCGGUAGGGGAGACUGGAAUUCCUGGUGUAGCGGUGAAAUGCGCAGAUAUCAGGAGGAACACCGGUGGCGAAGGCGGGUCUCUGGGCCGUAACUGACGCUGAGGAGCGAAAGCGUGGGGAGCGAACAGG